This is a long non-coding RNA of Cucumis sativus (cucumber), 736 nucleotides long. RefSeq lists it as uncharacterized. The transcript has 2 exons. NCBI's taxonomy places the organism in Eukaryota, Viridiplantae, Streptophyta, Magnoliopsida, Cucurbitales, Cucurbitaceae. The record is from RefSeq and is a predicted model, not a curated record.
CUUGGUUUGGGAUGCUUAAACAUUUUCAAAUUGAAAGAAGACGUCAUUUUACGAGGCCUCACUUUGCAACCUGGCUAAGGAACCGCAUAGGGCGGGUCUUCUCCUCUUCUCUUCUUUCACACUGUACAAAAAGGGGAUUGAUUCUGUUUGAAGUGGCGAUUUUGGGAGUCCUUGGAAACCAACGAAUUGGAAAUUCACUAGACGACGGAAAUUGACCUCUGCCCAAAAAAAGUGAAAAUAAUCCAUUUGGAGAAGUGGGAAUUCCAACUUCAGUACUGGAAGCACAAGAACAGAAGGACCCAAUAAAAAUGAGUUUUGAUUUUCUUUUAAACAGAUUAAUGAGAUGUCCCUUUGUAAAGGCAUGAGAUCUAACCUUCCAACGUAGGAAGCCACCGCACAUGUUUUUAGUACAAGACCCUAUGUAUGUUUUAGAUUUCAUAUAUUUGUCUGCCAUAUAUGUAUUGUUGUAUUUGGACGGUAGCAGAAAGAUAUGUAUUGUUGUAUUUGGAUGGUAGCAGAAAGUGCUUAAAAUUGAGCAGACAUCACCAGAAUCCAAACCCAUUUGGAACGGUUUGGGAGAAGAAUUGAGUUCGGAAAGCGUUAGAAUUAUGAUAAAGUUGUAUUUGAGAGAAAUGUUUACCAAAGUAGUAUUAUAAUAGGAUAUGUUUAGAGAAAGAGUUACGACAUUGUUAUUAUAAGAUGUGUUUAUGAUAAUAUAGGUUUGAAUAAAUGAUUA